CAGGCCUAACACAUGCAAGUCGAACGGGCACUUCGGUGUCAGUGGCAGACGGGUGAGUAACACGUGGGAACGUGCCCUUCGGUUCGGAAUAACUCAGGGAAACUUGAGCUAAUACCGGAUACGCCCUUUUGGGGAAAGGCUUGCUGCCGAAGGAUCGGCCCGCGUCUGAUUAGCUAGUUGGUGGGGUAACGGCCUACCAAGGCGACGAUCAGUAGCUGGUCUGAGAGGAUGAUCAGCCACACUGGGACUGAGACACGGCCCAGACUCCUACGGGAGGCAGCAGUGGGGAAUAUUGGACAAUGGGGGCAACCCUGAUCCAGCCAUGCCGCGUGAGUGAUGAAGGCCUUAGGGUUGUAAAGCUCUUUUAUCCGGGACGAUAAUGACGGUACCGGAGGAAUAAGCCCCGGCUAACUUCGUGCCAGCAGCCGCGGUAAU
This 435-nucleotide ribosomal RNA is filed under the name uncultured bacterium. Its description in RNAcentral is "bacterial SSU rRNA". It matches the Rfam family "Bacterial small subunit ribosomal RNA", at positions 43 to 524 of the family's 1533-position model. The record is from RNAcentral.